Long non-coding RNA from Panicum hallii, 440 nucleotides. RefSeq lists it as uncharacterized. Lineage: Eukaryota; Viridiplantae; Streptophyta; Magnoliopsida; Poales; Poaceae. The record is from RefSeq and is a predicted model, not a curated record. The transcript has 4 exons.
CUUGAUGGAUUUCCUUUAACAAUGAUUGUCAGGUGCGCAAACAUUACACCAACAACAAUAGUCAUGGAAGUGGUGCAUAUCAAGAAAACAUCACGAAUACCUUGUCAGAGCUAUUGAAGUAGGAGCUCUCCACUACUUUGAGGAUAUGGCAUCAGAGAGCAAGAGAUAUGAGCAGACACCUUGUCAAAUUUCUUCAGGAUCUUCACAAAGGCCAUCAUGUUCAAGCUCCUGCAACAAGUGUGCGCUCCUUGUCAUAUCCACAUAACAAAAGGUUGAACUACAUGCCAUAUUGCAAAAUCAGCUAUGUGUACCGUCUUCUUUGAUUGGCUCAGCAUGUCCUCAAACAGCAGUUCGCAUAUGGCAGUGACAGUCCUUGACGGCGUGGUGACUGGGAUGUUGAUCCUCACGUUCCUGCCCUGGCAGGUGACCACCCUCCCUGA